ACUUAAAAUCGACUCCGAGCCUGUGGUAGUCUAAGGCAACUGCUAAGAUACUCAGGCCGUUAGGGUUUAAUGGGAAACCAUUAAGCCUCCCCUGUGGAAAGGAGUACAGUUUUAACCUUG
This 120-nucleotide non-coding RNA is filed under the name Desulforamulus aeronauticus. RNAcentral describes it as "Desulfotomaculum aeronauticum MoCo sequence". It matches the Rfam family "Molybdenum/Tungsten riboswitch aptamer (Moco RNA motif)". Lineage: Bacteria; Bacillati; Bacillota; Clostridia; Eubacteriales; Peptococcaceae. The record is from RNAcentral.